GACGAACGCUGGCGGCGUGCUUAACACAUGCAAGUCGAACGAAGAGCGAUGGAAGCUUGCUUCUAUCAAUCUUAGUGGCGAACGGGUGAGUAACGCGUAAUCAACCUGCCCUUCAGAGGGGGACAACAGUUGGAAACGACUGCUAAUACCGCAUACGAUCUAAUCUCGGCAUCGAGGAUAGAUGAAAGGUGGCCUCUAUAUGUAAGCUAUCACUGAAGGAGGGGAUUGCGUCUGAUUAGCUAGUUGGAGGGGUAACGGCCCACCAAGGCGAUGAUCAGUAGCCGGUCUGAGAGGAUGAACGGCCACAUUGGGACUGAGACACGGCCCAGACUCCUACGGGAGGCAGCAGUGGGGAAUCUUCCGCAAUGGACGAAAGUCUGACGGAGCAACGCCGCGUGAGUGAUGACGGCCUUCGGGUUGUAAAGCUCUGUUAAUCGGGACGAAAGGCCUUCUUGCGAAUAGUGAGAAGGAUUGACGGUACCGGAAUAGAAAGCCACGGCUAACUACGUGCCAGCAGCCGCGGUAAUACGUAGGUGGCAAGCGUUGUCCGGAAUUAUUGGGCGUAAAGCGCGCGCAGGCGGAUAGGUCAGUCUGUCUUAAAAGUUCGGGGCU
Molecule: ribosomal RNA, 612 nt
Filed under: uncultured Veillonella sp.
Lineage: Bacteria; Bacillati; Bacillota; Negativicutes; Veillonellales; Veillonellaceae
Description: bacterial SSU rRNA
Rfam family: Bacterial small subunit ribosomal RNA
Source: RNAcentral